Molecule: long non-coding RNA, 1031 nt
Filed under: Canis lupus familiaris (dog)
Lineage: Eukaryota; Metazoa; Chordata; Mammalia; Carnivora; Canidae
Description: lncRNA (ENSCAFG00845024315.1)
Source: RNAcentral
AUGAUUUGGUCCAUAUCCUACUUGUUGACCUUAUAUGGAAUCACCAACCAAGCGUCCAGCUUCACUUUCCUAAGACCCACAGGAAAUAUUUCUUUCCCUCAAGGAAAUGAGAAUCACGCAAAUGGAAACCAAGAAGCCAGUGAGCAACACACUACUGAGGAUGCGCCUCAGGAUCAUGGAAGUUUGAAGCCUUGUAUAGAUUUUUAAAGGUCCCUGUCUGAUGUGUGGAAAGCUGUCUUCAGUUAUGCCUGGUCUCCUGCCAUGUAUGAAACAUCUGUAUUUGCAAAAUGUGCUACAAUCCCUUCAGGCCAAGAGGAAUCUUGGGAAAGCAACACGGUGAGUGCAAAACUGUUGCAACGUAUAAUCAUCUUCCACUCUCCAGAGUGAACAGUGGUAAGCUCUCAUGAAUUGUUGAGUCAUGAAUUAUAACAAAAUGAUUGAUCUAGAGGAGGUGCUAGGUAGAAAAAUUGCUUGCCUGGUGAAAUUGAAUUAAGUUGGGUUCAGGAAAGCACAGAAUGAAGAGAGGCAGUGUUCAUGCCAAUCCAUCACUAGACGUCUGCACGGAGGCCGAUGGUGCCAGGAGAAAAUCUUAGAAUCAAGUUCUUAAGAGGAAUUCAAAAGGCAAGAGAAAAGAAAAGAGGUUCAGAAAAGAGAAAAAUGCAGAGCUAAUAACUUGAUCUCAGAUCGCAGGUCAGAACAGCCAACUGACAACUUGCAAGACACACCUAUGAAGGCAAGGGAAACAAAAGCAAAAAUGAACUAUCGGGACUUAAUCAGGAUUAAAAAGCUUCUGCACAGGGGGGUGGGAGUGAAUGGGUGACGGGCACUGGGUGUUAUUCUGUAUGUUAGUAAAUUGAACACCAAUAAAAAAAAAAAUUAAAAAAAAAAAAAAAAAAAAAAAAAAAAGCUUCUGCACAGCAAAAGAAACAGUCAACAAAACUAAAAGACAACCCAUAGAACGGGAGAACAUAUUUGCAAAUGACAUAUCAGAUUUUUGCUGGUGACAAGGAAUGCCUGAAAAGAACAUUUCC